AUGUUGACGGCACCUGGAGCGCAUCCCGAACCCUCGCGGAGCCGGGAUGCCGCCUGCUCGCCCACCGCGAGCUGGGGGAAGCACUGCCCCUACGUUGGGGUCCCCGGCAGCUUUGGGGCAGGGCUCUCCCCCGUGCGGUCGGGUUCCCGGUGUGUUCCUGCGAGGGGCAGAGUUAAGGUGACGACGGGCACCCUGAGCCACACGCCUGGGGAAAUCCACCCCGGCGCUGCAGCCAGCGCCACUUUGUGCAUCCAAGCCCUGCCCUUUGCUGCAGCCGAGCGGGCAGGAGCGGUGCCCACGGUGCCAGAGGGGCCGGGCAGGGCGGCCCCAAGCUCUGCCACCACCUCCGAGCCAUCCCCAGCCAGGACACCUGCGAGAAACCUGCCCUUCCGCACCGAACGCCACGGCGAGCCUCCCACCCUGCGGGGAGCUUCCCCUGCCUCCCCGACUCCUCCUUUCAUCUUGGGUUUUGCAAGAGCAAGGCUCGGGCUGGCUCCAAACGCAGCGCUUGGGGAGGAAAGGGCUGCGCCGGGAGGCGGUGCCACCUCUUGGCACCUUCAACUUUGCCUCGAGUCCACCAGCCCCGGCCAGCGCUGGGGUGGGGUCACGGCUCCUCUCUGCCCCCCCUGCACGCCCACCCCAUCCCCGGAGCCCCCGCAGGGCCGGCGGCUGCCUCGCCUGCCACUUACAUCGUCAUCCUGCACGCUCAGGGGGAUAUCCAACAUGCACAUCUGCACGGGCUGCACCAGAGCCUUCUGCACGUUGAACAAAGGUUUCGCCUCCAUCUUCCCGGGCGCGGAGGGGCUGCUCAUUCUCCUCUCUCUGCCGCCGCUCCUCUCGCGGGAGGGGCUCCAGCCCAGGCAGGGAAGCGGACCGGAGAUCUCUCCCCGCUCGGUUUUCUCAGCGCAUCUUGCCAACAGCUGCUGCCGCCGCUCCGAGCGCCCUUAUUUCCUCCCUCGCGAAUCAAAGGGCUGCGAGGAGCCGCACCGAGAGGCCGGGUGUGCGCGUGUGUGA
This 1014-nucleotide long non-coding RNA is filed under the name Anser cygnoides (Swan goose). RNAcentral describes it as "lncRNA (ENSACDG00005019304.1)". The record is from RNAcentral. Lineage: Eukaryota; Metazoa; Chordata; Aves; Anseriformes; Anatidae.